Molecule: long non-coding RNA, 1090 nt
Organism: Panicum virgatum (switchgrass)
Lineage: Eukaryota; Viridiplantae; Streptophyta; Magnoliopsida; Poales; Poaceae
Exons: 3
Source: RefSeq, a predicted model, not a curated record
GCCUGCCAUUCUGGGAUGAUUUCUCGUGUCCAGUGUCCUGCCUCGCUUCGCCGCGACGGCGAGCGACGAGAGCCUCCGGGGGACGUGGUCACUGGUCACCAGCUCCCUGCUCGCCGGGCGUGCCACGACGUCGUCGGCGACGCCGACCUGGUUCGUCUGGGAGAGUCUACGCUCGGCUCUCCACCGGCGGCUCUGACGUGGAGGAUUAGCUCGUGCGCGAUGCCCGCGAGGUGUGGGACGCCACCAGCAAUGGGAGCACAGACGCGUCGUCCCCAGCCAGCUUCGGCGAGCUGAACUGGAUACGCCAUGACAGAGUCCACCACUCCACCUACUUCACCAAAUCGCUAGGCAUGGCAUUCAAGGCAUGUCGCCGGUGGCUGCGCACCAGGUGCUCGCUGUUUUGCCUGAGAGGGACCAAUGCUCAAAAAUAUGCAUGGGCAUACCAUUGUGCCAGAACCAAGAUCUUUCUCAAGCACACAAGAUCUUUCUCCAGAACCAAGGAAUCUGUGGACAAAAAGGAUUGGAUUCCUGUCAUCUUGGGGAUGAAGUUACAAAGACUCAGCUUAAGCUUGAUUCGAAAGGUUCGAUAUCUCAUAUCUACCAGAAGGUCCCAAGACUAUGAUGUCAAAACUAUAACUUGUAUACUAGUUUUGAAAUGCAGUGACAAAGAGGGGUAAAAACUGGAGCGCAGGUCAGCGCCAGCUUGUGUACUUGGGAAGGGUGAUUCUGGAAAUUAAAGGAGAAAGAUCUUGGUUCUGGAUGAGGCAACUUCCUCUGUGGAUCCAAUAACCUACAGUUUGAUUCAGGAAACCUUAAAACUUAAAUUUGCCCAAUGGAUUACAAUAGCGCAUCGUAUCACAUCAGUUCUUGAUAGUCACAAAGUCUUGCUACUAGACAACGGUGAAAUCGCAGAGCAUGACGCACCAGCAAAACUGCUAGAGGACAGUUCAUCCCUAUUUGCCAAGCUCGUAUUGAGUAAAUGCAAGAAAUAUAAACAGGAUGGUGAAGCUAGAAAACUAGGAUGAGGAUUGAGGUUAAUGAAAAUGCUGAAGUACCGUGCCUUUCAAACUAUCAUGUGAAUCCAAGAAUA